This 58-nucleotide transfer RNA is filed under the name Kaloula latidisca. Its description in RNAcentral is "partial tRNA-Leu". The record is from RNAcentral. Lineage: Eukaryota; Metazoa; Chordata; Amphibia; Anura; Microhylidae.
AGCUCUUCCCCUGGUCUUAGGCUCCAGUACCUCUUGGUGCAAAUCCAAGUAAAAGCUC